CUAAGUUUAUAACAAUAAAAGGUGAAAUUGGCUUAUUGAGGGGUAAAUGAAGGUUGAAUUAUAAAGAGGGAAGGCCUAAAAGUUAAGAUAUAAACCAGGAUUAGAUACCCUGUUAUACUUAAAAGGAAAAACAAAACUUGAGUACUAAUAGCUAUGGUCUUUAAAUUCAAAGAAUUUGGCGGUAUUUUAGUCUUGUUAGAGGAACCUGUUCUGUAAAUGACACAACACGAAGAAUCUUACUUACUUUUGUUUUACAGCUUGUAUACCGUCAUUAUUAGAUAACCUUUACUGAGAAAGUUAUUGAAAUUUAGGAAGUUAAAAUAUAUUAGAUCAAGGUGCAGUUUAUGGGUAAGAAGAAAUGGGUUACAAUAAAAUUUAUUUAUACGCAUCAAAUGAUUGAAUGAUUUCUGUGAAGGAGGAUUUAAUUGUAACAUAUAAUUUAAUAAGUUAAUGUGAUAUGAGAACUAAAGUAUGUACAUAUCGCCCGUCGCUUCCAUUUAAGGUGAGAUA
RNAcentral lists this ribosomal RNA (510 nucleotides) under Cherax gherardiae. Its description in RNAcentral is "partial 12S ribosomal RNA". Lineage: Eukaryota; Metazoa; Arthropoda; Malacostraca; Decapoda; Parastacidae. The record is from RNAcentral.